RNAcentral lists this ribosomal RNA (237 nucleotides) under uncultured Staphylococcus sp. Its description in RNAcentral is "partial 16S ribosomal RNA". It matches the Rfam family "Bacterial small subunit ribosomal RNA", at positions 103 to 334 of the family's 1533-position model. The record is from RNAcentral. Lineage: Bacteria; Bacillati; Bacillota; Bacilli; Caryophanales; Staphylococcaceae.
CGGGUGAGUAACACGUGGAUAACCUACCUAUAAGACUGGGAUAACUUCGGGAAACCGGAGCUAAUACCGGAUAAUAUUUUGAACCGCAUGGUUCAAAAGUGAAAGACGGUCUUGCUGUCACUUAUAGAUGGAUCCGCGCUGCAUUAGCUAGUUGGUAAGGUAGCGGCUUACCAAGGCAACGAUGCAUAGCCUACCUGAGAGGGUGAUCGGCCACACUGGAACUGAGACACGGUCCAG